AACGCUGGCGGCAGCCUAACACAUGCAAGUCGAACGGCAGCACAGAGGAGCUUGCUCCUUGGGUGGCGAGUGGCGGACGGGUGAGGAAUACGUCGGAAUCUGCCUAUUUGUGGGGGAUAACGUAGGGAAACUUACGCUAAUACCGCAUACGACCUACGGGUGAAAGUGGGGGACCUUCGGGCCUCACGCAGAUAGAUGAGCCGACGUCGGAUUAGCUAGUUGGCGGGGUAAAGGCCCACCAAGGCGACGAUCCGUAGCUGGUCUGAGAGGAUGAUCAGCCACACUGGAACUGAGACACGGUCCAGACUCCUACGGGAGGCAGCAGUGGGGAAUAUUGGACAAUGGGCGCAAGCCUGAUCCAGCCAUGCCGCGUGUGUGAAGAAGGCCUUCGGGUUGUAAAGCACUUUUGUCCGGAAAGAAAAGCUUAGGGUUAAUAACCCUGAGUCAUGACGGUACCGGAAGAAUAAGCACCGGCUAACUUCGUGCCAGCAGCCGCGGUAAUACGAAGGGUGCAAGCGUUACUCGGAAUUACUGGGCGUAAAGCGUGCGUAGGUGGUUUGUUAAGUCUGAUGUGAAAGCCCUGGGCUCAACCUGGGAAUGGCAUUGGAAACUGGCUUACUAGAGUGCGGUAGAGGGUAGUGGAAUUCCCGGUGUAGCAGUGAAAUGCGUAGAUAUCGGGAGGAACAUCUGUGGCGAAGGCGACUACCUGGACCAGCACUGACACUGAGGCACGAAGGCGUGGGGAGCAAACAGGAUUAGAUAUCCUGGUAGUCCACGCCCUAAACGAUGCGAACUGGAUGUUGGGGGCAACUUGGCCCUCAGUAUCGAAGCUAACGCGUUAAGUUCGCC
RNAcentral lists this ribosomal RNA (849 nucleotides) under uncultured Lysobacter sp. RNAcentral's name for it is "bacterial SSU rRNA". It matches the Rfam family "Bacterial small subunit ribosomal RNA", at positions 32 to 870 of the family's 1533-position model. Lineage: Bacteria; Pseudomonadati; Pseudomonadota; Gammaproteobacteria; Lysobacterales; Lysobacteraceae. The record is from RNAcentral.